AGGUGACACUUCAGGUUCAUGCUCUGCCACUCAAGGACCAUAAAUUUGGGUUCCCGAGGCAUUCCAGAUUCCACAGAGCCGAGUUCCAGUCUGCUCUUUUUGGUCGUGGCGUCUCCAGCACCGAGAGCGAUGUGUGACAGGCAGUGGAGCAUCUGCAGAUAUUUGCCGCCAAGACUGUGCCUGCGGUGGCACAGCAGGCACCUGGCAAAACCCAUCACCCGGGUGUGGUCCGGCAGCUCAGGAAGACAAAGUGGUCUGCCUAACUCCGACUCAUUCCCGCUGCAGACUGCCCACAUUCCUUUCUGCGUCACUCUGCCAGCUGUCGAGUCCAGACCCAUCCUGCCUACCUGCAGCCCUGCACGGCCUCCACUUUGUUCUCUCCCACCGUAACUGAAACCACAAAACUAGUGUGUAGCCAGA
Molecule: long non-coding RNA, 420 nt
Filed under: Fukomys damarensis (Damara mole-rat)
Lineage: Eukaryota; Metazoa; Chordata; Mammalia; Rodentia; Bathyergidae
Description: lncRNA (ENSFDAG00000025420.1)
Source: RNAcentral